ACCCGCUGAACUUAAGCAUAUCAAUAAGCGGAGGAAAAGAAACCAACAGGGAUUGCCCUAGUAACGGCGAGUGAAGCGGCAACAGCUCAAAUUUGAAAUCUGGCGUCUUUGGCGUCCGAGUUGUAAUUUGCAGAGGGCGCUUUGGCAUUGGCAGCGGUCCAAGUUCCUUGGAACAGGACGUCACAGAGGGUGAGAAUCCCGUACGUGGUCGCUAGCCUUUACCGUGUAAAGCCCCUUCGACGAGUCGAGUUGUUUGGGAAUGCAGCUCUAAAUGGGAGGUAAAUUUCUUCUAAAGCUAAAUACUGGCCAGAGACCCAUAGCGCACAAGUAGAGUGAUCAAAGAUGAAAAGCACUUUGGAAAGAGAGUUAAAAAGCACGUGAAAUUGUUGAAAGGGAAGCGCUUGCAGCCAGACUUGCCUGUAGUUGCUCAUCCGGGUUUUUACCCGGUGCACUCUUCUAUAGGCAGGCCAGCAUCAGUUUGGGCGGUUGGAUAAAGGUCUCUGUCACGUACCUCCUCUCGGGGAGAACUUAUAGGGGAGACGUAAUGCAACCAGCCUGGACUGAGGUCCGCGCAUCUGCUAGGAUGCUGGCGUAAUGGCUGUAAGCGGCCCGUCUUGAAACACGGACCAAGGAGUCUAACAUCUAUGCGAGUGUUUGGGUGUCAAGCCCGAGCGCGUAAUGAAAGUGAACGGAGGUGGGAACCUUUCGGGGUGCACCAUCGACCGAUCCUGAUGUCUUCGGAUGGAUUUGAGUAAGAGCAUAGCUGUUGGGACCCGAAAGAUGGUGAACUAUGCUUGAAUAGGGUGAAGCCAGAGGAAACUCUGGUGGAGGCUCGCAGCGGUUCUGACGUGCAAAUCGAUCGUCAAAUUUGGGCAUAGGGGCGAAAGACUAAUCGAACUAUCUAGUA
Molecule: ribosomal RNA, 907 nt
Filed under: Boeremia exigua var. exigua
Lineage: Eukaryota; Fungi; Ascomycota; Dothideomycetes; Pleosporales; Didymellaceae
Description: LSU rRNA
Rfam family: Eukaryotic large subunit ribosomal RNA
Source: RNAcentral